Molecule: ribosomal RNA, 274 nt
Filed under: uncultured bacterium
Lineage: Bacteria
Description: partial 16S ribosomal RNA
Rfam family: Bacterial small subunit ribosomal RNA
Source: RNAcentral
AUACGGAGGGUGCGAGCGUUAAUCGGAAUUACUGGGCGUAAAGCGCGCGUAGGCGGUUUGUUAAGUCGGAUGUGAAAGCCCCGGGCUCAACCUGGGAACUGCAUUCGAAACUGGCAGGCUAGAGUAUGGUAGAGGGAAGUGGAAUUCCGGGUGUAGCGGUGAAAUGCGUAGAUAUCCGGAGGAACAUCAGUGGCGAAGGCGGCUUCCUGGACCAAUACUGACGCUGAGGUGCGAAAGCGUGGGGAGCAAACAGGAUUAGAAACCCCUGUAGUCC